Molecule: ribosomal RNA, 273 nt
Filed under: uncultured bacterium
Lineage: Bacteria
Description: partial 16S ribosomal RNA
Rfam family: Bacterial small subunit ribosomal RNA
Source: RNAcentral
UACGUAGGUGGCAAGCGUUGUCCGGAAUUACUGGGCGUAAAGCGCGCGUAGGCGGGUAUUUAAGUCAGAAGUGAAAACUAUCGGCUCAACCGGUAGCCUGCUUUUGAAACUGGAUACCUUGAGGACAGGAGAGGAGAGCGGAAUUCCCAGUGUAGCGGUGAAAUGCGUAGAUAUUGGGAGGAACACCAGUGGCGAAGGCGGCUCUCUGGCCUGUAACUGACGCUGAGGUGCGAAAGCGUGGGGAGCAAACGGGAUUAGAUACCCCCGUAGUCC